This 500-nucleotide ribosomal RNA is filed under the name uncultured bacterium. RNAcentral's name for it is "partial 16S ribosomal RNA". It matches the Rfam family "Bacterial small subunit ribosomal RNA", at positions 30 to 523 of the family's 1533-position model. The record is from RNAcentral.
AUUGAACGCUGGCGGAAUGCUUUACACAUGCAAGUCGAACGGCAGCACGGGGGCAACCCUGGUGGCGAGUGGCGAACGGGUGAGUAAUACAUCGGAACGUGCCCAGUCGUGGGGGAUAACGUAGCGAAAGUUACGCUAAUACCGCAUACGAUCUACGGAUGAAAGCGGGGGACCGUAAGGCCUCGCGCGAUUGGAGCGGCAGAUGUCAGAUUAGGUAGUUGGUGAGGUAAAGGCUCACCAAGCCGACGAUCUGUAGCUGGUCUGAGAGGACGACCAACCACACUUGGACUGAGACUCCGCCCAGAAUCCUACGGUAGGCAGCAGUGGUGAAGUUUGGACAAUGGGCGCAAGCCUGAUCCAUCCAUUACGCGUGCAGGACGAAGGCCUUCGGGUUGUAAACUGCUUUUGUACGGAACUAAAAGGCUCUUGUUAAUACCUGGGGCUCAUGACGGUACCGUAAGAAUAAGCACCGGCUAACUACGUGCCAGCCGCCGCUGUAA